Molecule: ribosomal RNA, 637 nt
Filed under: Vibrio splendidus
Lineage: Bacteria; Pseudomonadati; Pseudomonadota; Gammaproteobacteria; Vibrionales; Vibrionaceae
Description: bacterial SSU rRNA
Rfam family: Bacterial small subunit ribosomal RNA
Source: RNAcentral
ACUCAAAUGAAUUGACGGGGGCCCGCACAAGCGGUGGAGCAUGUGGUUUAAUUCGAUGCAACGCGAAGAACCUUACCUACUCUUGACAUCCAGAGAAGCCAGCGGAGACGCAGGUGUGCCUUCGGGAACUCUGAGACAGGUGCUGCAUGGCUGUCGUCAGCUCGUGUUGUGAAAUGUUGGGUUAAGUCCCGCAACGAGCGCAACCCUUAUCCUUGUUUGCCAGCGAGUAAUGUCGGGAACUCCAGGGAGACUGCCGGUGAUAAACCGGAGGAAGGUGGGGACGACGUCAAGUCAUCAUGGCCCUUACGAGUAGGGCUACACACGUGCUACAAUGGCGCAUACAGAGGGCAGCAAGCUAGCGAUAGUGAGCGAAUCCCAAAAAGUGCGUCGUAGUCCGGAUUGGAGUCUGCAACUCGACUCCAUGAAGUCGGAAUCGCUAGUAAUCGUGAAUCAGAAUGUCACGGUGAAUACGUUCCCGGGCCUUGUACACACCGCCCGUCACACCAUGGGAGUGGGCUGCAAAAGAAGUGGGUAGUUUAACCUUUCGGGGAGGACGCUCACCACUUUGUGGUUCAUGACUGGGGUGAAGUCGUAACAAGGUAGCCCUAGGGGAACCUGGGGCUGGAUCACCUCCUUA